RNAcentral lists this ribosomal RNA (245 nucleotides) under uncultured Alcanivorax sp. Its description in RNAcentral is "partial 16S ribosomal RNA". It matches the Rfam family "Bacterial small subunit ribosomal RNA", at positions 524 to 768 of the family's 1533-position model. The record is from RNAcentral. Lineage: Bacteria; Pseudomonadati; Pseudomonadota; Gammaproteobacteria; Oceanospirillales; Alcanivoracaceae.
UACGGAAGGUGCGAGCGUUAAUCGGAAUUACUGGGCGUAAAGCGCACGUAGGCGGUUUGUUAAGUUGGAUGUGAAAGCCCAGGGCUCAACCUUGGAAUUGCAUCCGAUACUGGCAGGCUAGAGUACAGUAGAGGGAGGUGGAAUUUCCGGUGUAGCGGUGAAAUGCGUAGAGAUCGGAAGGAACACCAGUGGCGAAGGCGGCCUCCUGGACUGAUACUGACGCUGAGGUGCGAAAGCGUGGGGAG